Molecule: small nucleolar RNA, 129 nt
Filed under: Carlito syrichta (Philippine tarsier)
Lineage: Eukaryota; Metazoa; Chordata; Mammalia; Primates; Tarsiidae
Description: Small nucleolar RNA SNORA25 (ENSTSYG00000022298.2)
Rfam family: Small nucleolar RNA SNORA25
About the family: ACA25 is a member of the H/ACA class of snoRNA that guide the sites of modification of uridines to pseudouridines.
Source: Rfam by way of RNAcentral
AGGUUAUUUCAAAGAGGACUUGUGGGGCUGUGAAACCAGGAUCUCUUAAGACUAUGACCAAAGCUUGAAGUUCUCCAUAGGAUGCCGUAAUCACUCAGUAAUGUUAUGCUUUUCCAAGGAAAUGUAAGA